AAAUUCAGUAAAACAAGAAUUCAAUGUGGGAAGUAGCAACAAAAAAAGGGUGGGCAUGUUUUGUAAAGAAAAAAGGUUUCCUGCGUCCAUUGGAAAGCACCAUUAAUUUUGGUUAAUUUUUACCGAAUAGAACAUGAAUUCUUUUGGCCACAUAGGAAAUAGUUCUUAAAAUAUGCUAAGGUAUUUGAACAUCUAAAAUGAAAUGUUUCUCAAUAAGAUAAGCGUAUUUCCAUAUGAUCUGUAAAUUGAUCCACAGAGAGCUGUUCAGUUGUCCAAUCUUAUUUAUUUUGGACAAAUAAUGUGCUACUUUUUUCUCCUUCUGGGAUAGCUUUUAAGUUGCAUAAAUAAAUGAUCCUGUCUUGUUCUGUUACAGAAACACAUUUAUUUAAUAUUCCCAAACCAUUGCUGACUGCUGUGUGUGAACCUCCUGUAAUUUGAUGGCUGUAACCAUGACAGUUUUGAACACCUGUCUUCGGAUUAGGUUCCUGUUAAUGAUUCAACUCUGGGCAAAAGGAAGAGCUGUGAGGCCAAGGAAACUGAGUGUGGUGGGUGCAGGGUGGUCAAAUUCCCCCCGCCGUGUCAGGAGGAGGAGGGAGGUGCUGUCUCUCUACUCCCUCCCAUAUACCAGAGCCGCUCAUCUCCUGCGUUCAGGCACCUGGCUCAGUUGCUCACUCCCAAAAUAUAUCUGGACAAGUGACCAAGACGCAGACCUGGUUAAAUGUCUUUGGCUCCUUCCGUCCCUUCCUGAAGUUCCCAGAGGUAACCCAUUGAUGCAUAGAAAGGAAUGCUGUUCUUACCUGACCCUGCAGCUGACGAUUUGUGAAACCUGUGAUUUCACAAAAAGGUUUUUGUGAUCACACAAAAUGUGAUUGCUGGGGGAAGUUCCCAGGCCUGACUGCUGUCUAUCCUUAUUCGUGGUUACCAGUGAGCCUUGCUCCAAACACUGUCAGCUACUACCACCUGGCCUAAGAGAUGUAGCCUCCUGGGCCUCUCACUUCUGAUCUCCUUAGCUCCAGGAGACACAGGAAGAGUCUAGCCUUGCUGCAAGGUUACUGCCUGCCAGUGCACAUCCACCUUGGUGCCCUCUCAACCAAAUGUAUGCCCAGGGAACAAUCCCCACUGAUGAACCCAGAGUAGGUGUUCUCACCCGGUCAACUCUGUGGACCACCUGAAAUUGCAUUCACCUGCAAAGUUUUGUUUGGGAUUAUAUGUGUGGUUAAAUGCAUUUUUUUUUUUUUUUUCCAGGAACAGAGAUCAUCGACCUCAUCAGUUUCUCAAGGGGUCGGUAAUCCCCACCCCACAAAAAUACAAAGAAAUACUAUCAGUGAAUGGAGGCAAGUCGUUAAGUUCUGUAAUCUUGAUAGACCAGAGAGAGGGAUGAAUCUGCCAGAUCAGAAGAGCUCCUGAUAUCUUCUUCAUCAGGUAUUUUCAGGACUGCAGAGAUGAACAUUAGUGAGUCCAAAUAGAAGUGGUGAAGGGAGCAGAGAAGAGGAUGGGCCUGUUUCCCAGAGAAGUAGAAAUGACCAGUAGCUCAGGAGAAGAUGCUGUUUCUUCCGGUAAUCAGAGAAAGAUGACACAUUUGUUGUGUACGCAAAGACUAAAAAGAAAACGAGUGACAGUGCCCCGCAUGGUGGAGGUGGUGGGAGGGAAGGCGGGGAGUGAGGGACCUUGCAAAUAAUGGGAGGGGAAAUUUGGGACCCAGACUCACCAGUGAAGUGGCUUCACGUGACCAGGAGCUGAUGUGCUGGUGUGUUGGUCCAAAUAGCGGUUCCUGCUCAGCUCUCAGCUCCCUAUUUCCUUAAAGGUGGUGUGACUGUGGCCUAAGAAGGUGGAGGAGGAGAGGGAGGAAACCCAUCCAGAUCCUUGUAGGUUGGUGUGAAGGUGGGUGUUGAUUGGAGACUCCUGAAGUCCGGGUGGAAGGUAGCAGCACAAUUUUCAAGUUAGGAGGCACUUCUCUGUUUCCCCAAGGGGACAGCCCGAACCCAGGCUUGUUCUCAUUUUGUGACUUGUCAAAGGCAGGGCAGUGUCAGCAGCAGAAAUGGUUGACGUUGGUGACUUCAGGAGGUGGAGGGAAGAAAGUGGUUAUCAUGUAGCAGAGCGAUGGAGGACUGUGAAAUAAGAGACAGACUUGACAACCUGGACCCUGAACAGGGAAAGGUCUGGGUCUGGACGCACAUUCAGAUGUUGGUGCAUCCACUGAGCACUAAGUCCAAAUUGUCUCCUCUUUGUUCCUGUCUGGUUUUCGCUUCCGUCUGUCUGUGUCUGCUGCUCUGUCCAUCAGUGGUGGGUUUUCCACGCAAAAGGAGGAGAAGCUUAAAGGUUCAUUUCCUUCCUCCUUCCCCUCCCCCUAAACACUCAGUCCCUACAUCCAAGUUGACUGCGGCUUCAAACUCCUGCUCUCAAUGUGUUCUCACUAGCCUAAGGGAGCACCCCUGAGACAUUCACAGUGCUGUAGCAUGGGCGGAGCUUAGAACUUGGACUUGAUAGCAGUGGGACUGGUGAUUCGGGCUCGUGCCUCGUACUACUGACUGGCCUGUGGUAGAGAGCAGAAAAAGAAGAGACCAGCUGAUUUGAAAAACAAUAAUCAUGUCUACAAAAGUUUAGAAAAUAUAGAAAACUAUAAGAAAUAAAAUAAAAAUAAGCCACCAAACAAUUACCA
This is a long non-coding RNA of Cercocebus atys (sooty mangabey), 2659 nucleotides long. RefSeq lists it as uncharacterized. NCBI's taxonomy places the organism in Eukaryota, Metazoa, Chordata, Mammalia, Primates, Cercopithecidae. The record is from RefSeq and is a predicted model, not a curated record. The transcript is spliced from 3 exons.